AGAGAGAGACAUGCGCUCAUAUCAAUAAGCGGAGGAAAAGAAACUAACAAGGAUUCCCCUAGUAACGGCGAGUGAAGCGGGAAGAGCUCAAAUUUGAAAUCUUAAAGGGUUUCCCUUUACGAAUUGUAGUUUAAAGAAGUGUUUUCUGUUGAGGCUUUGGUAAAAGUUCUUUGGAAUAGGACAUCAUAGAGGGUGAGAAUCCCGUAUUUGACCUUUACUUUCAACUUUGUGAUACACUUUCAAAGAGUCGGAUUGUUUGGGAAUGCAGUCCAAAAUGGGUGGUAAAUUUCAUCUAAAGCUAAAUAUUGGCGAGAGACCGAUAGCGAACAAGUACCGUGAGGGAAAGAUGAAAAGAACUUUGAAAAGAGAGUUAAACAGUACGUGAAAUUGUCAAAAGGGAAGCGUUUGACACCAGUGUUGUUUUUCUGAAAAUCAAUUAAAGAACUGUUUAUGCUAAGCUGUUUAGACUUUAUCAGCUAACUGUUUAGUUUUGAGCUUUUCUUUAAUGCACUUUUCAGUUAACAAGUCAACAUCAAUUUCUUUUGCUGUAAAAAAGCUUGAGGAAGGUGGCUUGAGAUUCGUCUUAAGUGUUUAUAGCCUCUUGCCUAUGCAGUCGGAGAGAUUGAGGUCUGCAGCGUAGAUCCUUCGGGGCUAAAUGCAUUUGUGCUAAGUUAUAGCAUUUUAUAGACAACUUAGUUGACUAUGAUUUGUCUUGUAGCUUACUCGCUUAUGUUAUUUUACCUACGCUUAGGAUGUUGACGCAUGAGAUAUACGC
This 775-nucleotide ribosomal RNA is filed under the name uncultured Neocallimastigales. RNAcentral describes it as "partial large subunit ribosomal RNA". It matches the Rfam family "Eukaryotic large subunit ribosomal RNA", at positions 22 to 647 of the family's 3401-position model. The record is from RNAcentral. Lineage: Eukaryota; Fungi; Neocallimastigomycota; Neocallimastigomycetes; Neocallimastigales.